AUGCAUGGUAGAAAAUAUACUUGGGGCAAUAACUUACCCCAACCCACUUUUGAAAAGUUGGACAGGGUGAUAUGUGAUGUGGAAUGGGAGGAGAAAUACCCCCUGACAGAAAUCUCUGCUAUGGGCAGAGAGAAAUCUGAUCAUGUUCCUCUAUUCCUAGAUACUGGAGAUGUGGUCAAAAAUGAUCCAUUGUUCAGAUUUGAGAAUGCCUGGCUUUUGAGAGAGGGCAUAGAUGAUUUAGUUAGUAAAACAUGGAGAGAAAAAAGCUCCAAGAAAUCUAGUAUUGAUAAUUGGCAAUGCAAAAUGAGACUUUUGAGGCCUGUGCUGAAAGGGUGGAAUAGGAAUAUGAAUGCAAGGUAUAGAGAGCUUAAGAAAGACAUUCUGAUUAAAUUGGAUAUUAUUGAUAAAAAAUGUGAAGAUUAUGGUUUAAAUGCAGAAGACAGAAAGGAACAAAUAGAACUUAGGGCUCAACUGGAUAGACUGCUGGGACAGGAAGAGGCUAAAUGGAAACAGAGGGCAAAAGUGGAUGAACUAAUAGGGGGAGAUAAUAAUACUAAAUACUUCCAUGCUAAAGCAAAUGGACGUCGCAGAAAAAAUAAAAUUACAUCUCUUGAUCAAGAAGAGGGAAAGAUAGAAGGGGAAAAAAUCUGCUAG
Molecule: ribosomal RNA, 654 nt
Filed under: Triticum aestivum (bread wheat)
Lineage: Eukaryota; Viridiplantae; Streptophyta; Magnoliopsida; Poales; Poaceae
Description: partial small subunit ribosomal RNA
Source: RNAcentral